Hypanus sabinus (Atlantic stingray) is the source of this 673-nucleotide long non-coding RNA. RefSeq lists it as uncharacterized. NCBI's taxonomy places the organism in Eukaryota, Metazoa, Chordata, Chondrichthyes, Myliobatiformes, Dasyatidae. The record is from RefSeq and is a predicted model, not a curated record. The transcript has 2 exons.
UGUGGCUCCUCCCACAGACCCCUGGAUAAAGGCGAUCAAGGCCUGAGCCUGGCCUCUCAGUCUCCAGGAUGUAGUGUGGUGGUCACUCGCUGUUUGUUCCGCCGAUAUCUCGCCUUUACGUCUCAGAGUGAGUUAUUGAUGGUGCAUCAAUUCCUGAAGCAGAACAUCACUGCAUAAUAUCAGUCCUCGUGGAACAAUGCUGCCUGGCUUGCUGAGUUCCUCCAGCAUUUUGUGUGUGUUGCUUGGAUUUCCAGCAUCUGCAAAUUUCUUCGUGUUUUAAAUAUACUCAAUGAUCUGUCCUCCAGAGCUCUCUGUUGCAAAGAAUCCCAUAGAUUCACCAACCUCUGACUGAAGAAAUCCUUCCUCAUCUCUGGUCUAAAUGGACAUCCCUCUAUUCUGAGACUGUGUCAUCUGGUCCAAGAUUCUCCUACUACCUUCCAGGAAUGAGAAGUUUCAGGUGUGCACACAGAAUAAGGAGGCUUGGUUUGAUCUUCUGAGAGCAAGGAAGGCUACAAGGAUAUUUAAAAGGGAUGCUUAAAAUCAUGCAGUGCUUAGAGUAAAUUAUGAGGGCAGUAUUCCUCAAUGGCUGAAGUGGGCAUGCUCUUAAAAAAAUACGUUUAUUCAGUGAGUGACUAGCAUUUAGAAUUCAGCCUGAUAGGGUGAAAUAUAUGGG